GCCUGCCCUGUGACUAUAUGUUUAACGGCCGCGGUAUUUUGACCGUGCGAAGGUAGCGCAAUCACUUGUCUUUUAAAUGGGGACCUGUAUGAAUGGCAUAACGAGGGCUUAACUGUCUCCUCUUUCAAGUCAAUGAAAUUGAUCUCCCCGUGCAGAAGCGAGGAUAAAUACAUAAGACGAGAAGACCCUAUGGAGCUUUAGACACUAAAGCAGAUCAGUAUUAAUACCCUGAACAUAGGCUACGAAUAAACUGACCCCUGCCCUAAUGUCUUUGGUUGGGGCGACCGCGGAGAAAAAUAAAACCCCCGCAAGGAUUAAAUGUACUACAUUCACAAACAAGAGCGACAGCUCUAACUAACAGAACUUCUGACCAAUAAGAUCCGGCAAUGCCGAUCAAUGAACCGAGUUACCCUAGGGAUAACAGCGCAAUCUCCUCUUAGAGCCCAUAUCGACGAGGAGGUUUACGACCUCGAUGUUGGAUCAGGACAUCCUAAUGGUGCAGCCGCUAUUAAGGGUUCGUUUGUUCAACGAUUAAAGUCCUACGUGA
RNAcentral lists this ribosomal RNA (547 nucleotides) under Epinephelus fuscoguttatus (brown-marbled grouper). Its description in RNAcentral is "partial 16S ribosomal RNA". It matches the Rfam family "Bacterial large subunit ribosomal RNA", at positions 1857 to 2603 of the family's 2925-position model. Lineage: Eukaryota; Metazoa; Chordata; Actinopteri; Perciformes; Serranidae. The record is from RNAcentral.